This 93-nucleotide transfer RNA is filed under the name Apiotrichum porosum. RNAcentral describes it as "tRNA-Ser". It matches the Rfam family "tRNA". From Rfam's summary of the family: Transfer RNA (tRNA) molecules are approximately 80 nucleotides in length. Lineage: Eukaryota; Fungi; Basidiomycota; Tremellomycetes; Trichosporonales; Trichosporonaceae. The record is from RNAcentral.
GGCGCUGUCCCGUAGUGGUUAUCGGGUUACCUUGCUAUGUGUCAUGACAGGUAAUGUGCUUUGCACUCGAGAGUUCGAAUCUCUCCAGCGUCG